UACAGAGGUGGCAAGCGUUGUUCGGAAUUACUGGGCGUAAAGGGCGCGUAGGCGGUUCCGCAAGUCCUGUGUGAAAUCCCCCGGCUCAACUGGGGAACUGCACAGGAAACUGCGGGGCUUGAGUUCGGGAGAGGGAAGCGGAAUUCCGGGUGUAGCGGUGAAAUGCGUAGAUAUCCGGAGGAACACCGGUGGCGAAGGCGGCUUCCUGGACCGAUACUGACGCUGAGGCGCGAAAGCUAGGGGAGCAAACGGG
This 253-nucleotide unclassified non-coding RNA is filed under the name uncultured Acidobacteriota bacterium. Its description in RNAcentral is "uncultured Acidobacteria bacterium contains 16S-23S intergenic spacer region". It matches the Rfam family "Bacterial small subunit ribosomal RNA", at positions 524 to 776 of the family's 1533-position model. Lineage: Bacteria; Pseudomonadati; Acidobacteriota. The record is from RNAcentral.